CCGGAGGGAACGCCGAAUCCUGCCGCCUUCCGGACUCCGCACCCACUCACGCACGGCAGGAGCGGGGGAACCAGGUAAGUCGCCGGUCCGGUCCCCGGAGCGGCUCGGGGUGGAGUGGUGGCCGCGGCCACCGCCGGACAUCUCCCGUCCGAACCCGACAGCUCACCUCGCAGGCGCCGGAGAGGAACG
RNAcentral lists this small RNA (189 nucleotides) under Streptomyces kanasensis. RNAcentral's name for it is "c-di-AMP sequence". It matches the Rfam family "c-di-AMP riboswitch aptamer (ydaO/yuaA leader)". From Rfam's summary of the family: This family represents a conserved RNA structure found upstream of the ydaO and yuaA genes in Bacillus subtilis and related genes in other bacteria. The ydaO/yuaA element is thought to act as a genetic "off" switch for the ydaO and yuaA genes in its native state. The record is from RNAcentral. Lineage: Bacteria; Bacillati; Actinomycetota; Actinomycetes; Kitasatosporales; Streptomycetaceae.